Molecule: ribosomal RNA, 580 nt
Filed under: uncultured bacterium
Lineage: Bacteria
Description: partial 16S ribosomal RNA
Rfam family: Bacterial small subunit ribosomal RNA
Source: RNAcentral
UGGGGAAUUUUGGACAAUGGGCGAAAGCCUGAUCCAGCAAUGCCGCGUGUGUGAAGAAGGCCUUCGGGUUGUAAAGCACUUUUGUCCGGAAAGAAAUCCUUGGCUCUAAUACAGUCGGGGGAUGACGGUACCGGAAGAAUAAGCACCGGCUAACUACGUGCCAGCAGCCGCGGUAAUACGUAGGGUGCAAGCGUUAAUCGGAAUUACUGGGCGUAAAGCGUGCGCAGGCGGUUUGCUAAGACCGAUGUGAAAUCCCCGGGCUCAACCUGGGAACUGCAUUGGUGACUGGCAGGCUAGAGUAUGGCAGAGGGGGGUAGAAUUCCACGUGUAGCAGUGAAAUGCGUAGAGAUGUGGAGGAAUACCGAUGGCGAAGGCAGCCCCCUGGGCCAAUACUGACGCUCAUGCACGAAAGCGUGGGGAGCAAACAGGAUUAGAUACCCUGGUAGUCCACGCCCUAAAACGAUGUCAACUAGUUGUUGGGGACUCAUUUCCUUAGUAACGUAGCUAACGCGUGAAGUUGACCGCCUGGGGAGUACGGUCGCAAGAUUAAAACUUAAAGGAAUUGACGGGGUCAUAGCUG